Molecule: unclassified non-coding RNA, 330 nt
Filed under: soil metagenome
Description: partial contains 5.8S ribosomal RNA, internal transcribed spacer 2, and large subunit ribosomal RNA
Rfam family: 5.8S ribosomal RNA (bases 1-119)
Source: RNAcentral
GAUGAAGAACGAGCGAAAUGCGAUAAGUAAUGUGAAUUGCAGAAUUCAGUGAAUCAUCGAAUCUUUGAACGCACAUUGCGCCCCCUGGUAUUCCGGGGGGCAUGCCUGUUCGAGCGUCAUUUCACCACUCAAGCCUCGCUUGGUAUUGGGCAACGCGGUCCGCCGCGUGCCUCAAAUCGACCGGCUGGGUCUUCUGUCCCCUAAGCGUUGUGGAAACUAUUCGCUAAAGGGUGCUCGGGAGGCUACGCCGUAAAACAAACCCAUUUCUAAGGUUGACCUCGGAUCAGGUAGGGAUACCCGCUGAACUUAAGCAUAUCAAUAAGCGGAGGA